Molecule: non-coding RNA, 93 nt
Filed under: human gut metagenome
Description: SAM riboswitch (S box leader)
Rfam family: SAM riboswitch aptamer (S box leader)
About the family: The SAM riboswitch is found upstream of a number of genes which code for proteins involved in methionine or cysteine biosynthesis in Gram-positive bacteria. The SAM riboswitch acts at the level of transcription termination control.
Source: RNAcentral
CUUAUCAAGAGUGGUUGAGGGAUCGGCCCGAUGAAACCACGGCAACCUGCCCGAAAGCAAGGUGCCAAAUCCGACGUAUGCUGAGCGCGGAAG